ACAAAAAAAAAAUAAGGAGCUUGGGUGAUUAAGGGUUUUCAGGAAAAUCAAGGAGAGAGGAAUGGGCAGCGCCGUAGUCGAGAAGACUAAAGAAGAGCUCAAGAGAGAGAUCGAAGAACUCCAUCGCCAGCAAUGGGAGGUCCUUAUUCUCUCUCUUUCUUUCUGUCUCUCUCUAUAUAUGUAUAUAUUUGCAGAAACACAUAAUUCGCCAAGUGUUUGAUUAUUUGUCUGAUUGACAAAUUUCAGAGCGGCUUCGUGAUCCUAGGGGUCUUCCCCGUGGUGGUAAGUAGAGGGAGACAAACAUCAUAGCAAAUGUGAAUAGCAUUUGAAAGUUAAAACCAAUCCUAUUAUUUGGUAUUCAAAAUAAAGUAGCUUUUCUAAACUUGCCAAAAAAUUCAAGUAUCUUUUCCUUUUGUGCAAAACACUUUAUUAACACCCUUUUUUUAAUGUUUUUUGUGCAUCCUCAAAAUCUCCGUCUUUCUGAACAAGUAGCACCUUUGCACCAUUUUUUAUGCACUAGAAAAUUUAGGAAAAUAAAAUUUUCUUCUAAAUGGUAUUUUCUUUAAUUUUUCAGUAGUUUAACAAGUUCACAAGGCGUGAUUUCCAUUUGACUAGUUUCAGUUGAUUUGGUUGUAAUUCGACAAUCUUCUCUAACUUGAAGGGAGAUUGCAGGCAUUCUAUUUGAGAACAAGAAGUCUUGAACUGUAGUUGAAAGCAUUUAAGUAGAUUAAAAUAGAAGUUACUGUUGUAAAUUCUAUAAUUGCACAUAAUUUUACUUUUUCACUCAUUAAUUAAAUUUAGGUUCCGAGCAGAGGGG
This 817-nucleotide long non-coding RNA is filed under the name Panax ginseng (ginseng). Its description in RNAcentral is "long non-coding RNA (PGIN_LNC003990)". Lineage: Eukaryota; Viridiplantae; Streptophyta; Magnoliopsida; Apiales; Araliaceae. The record is from RNAcentral.